Molecule: long non-coding RNA, 3552 nt
Filed under: Homo sapiens (human)
Lineage: Eukaryota; Metazoa; Chordata; Mammalia; Primates; Hominidae
Description: non-protein coding lnc-PEBP4-1:3
Source: RNAcentral
GGGGCCUGGGCCUGGACAACAUGGCCGCCCCCAGGGUUAGAGCCGCUUGUCCUCCAGCCGCCUGGUCUCUCUUGAUGAGGAUUUAACCUCUGGUCAUUAGGUCCUGCCUGCUACCUUUGUUUCAGGUUAGCUCAAUCCCAGGCCUAACCAGCGUUUUCCUGGAGCCCACCCCAGGGCCAGGCCCUCUCAGCUAGAACAUCUCUCUCAGGUAAGGCGACUCCUGAGCUCUGAGCCCACAGCCCCACUGCCUCCUGGCUCUGCCCCUCCUCCGUGGGACUCCAUCUUUUACACCUAAAAAGAGUGUGGGUGGUGAAAUCUGAGUCGGGGUUAGAAAACGGAAAGGGGCAAUUGUGGCCCAGCUGCUGCCCCAUGGGGGCUGGGAGCUAGUUUCAAUCCCCCACAUUCCUCCAGCCCCGCCCUCCUCCUCUCUAGACCAACUCUGCUUUUCCUCCUGCUCCAUUCUCCCUCUUCUCCUUCCCCUUAUCCCACCCCAGCAGUAAUAAGGCUGUGUCCUGUGGCCUUUCACUACAGGUCAGUGCCCCUUUCCCUGACUUUUGGCCCCUAUUGCAGCCCCGCAAAAACACCCACCAUAAGCACUCUCUGAGGGUAAGGAAGGGAGCCUGCAGUCUCCAGAUGGGCAAAAGCAAGAGUCUGGUGCCAUUUAAGCCCCGAGACCAAACCCCUCUUUGCCGCCAGCCCGGGCCCCUCAAUCACCAGCCCUCUAGAGGCCAGGCCCCUGUGUUGCCCUCGGAGCCAGCUGGCAGGGUCAGGGCCUCCGCAGUCAGAGAAGUGCCGAGUCCUUUCCUGAAAGGCAUUGGAGUCGAUUCUGCAACCUAAAUCUUCACCUCCUCAUCAUGGGGGCCUCUGUUUAUAGAAAUGUGAGCUAGGCAGGGGCUUUUUCUGAUUUUCAUUCUUUGGAGGGAUAGAGGACAGAGUGUUUGUUGAUUUUUCGUUUCGGUUUCAGUUUGGUUGUCAUUGGUUUUUGUUUUUUGCUAAUUUUGCCCCACCCUAUAAAAAGCAGUGCCACCCAGAGGCAGGGGAGGGCCCUGAGGAGCACGGGGUCGCCGUGCACUCAUUCCUACUUCCUUCUCCACCUGUCCCAGCUGCUUCCUUUGGUUACCAUCUCCAAAUCUGAGGGUAAAGGAGGGGGUGAGGGAGAAGUUUCUUGUUGCACCAAGAGGCACUGCUUCCAGGCCUGGAGCUCUGAAUGACCUGUGUCCCCAUUCUCAGGUCUGUGCUAGCACAGCCCCCUGGGACGGAGGGACACUGGCAGGAUACAGGCCUUUCCACGUCUGGCCUUUUGCAGCUGCACCCCAGGAUGUAGAAGCCUUGAGUUGGGCUCUGAAGGCUCAAUUUCUACCCUGACUUCUCCAGUGAGGGUGUGAGUAGGCUUCGUGUGGAAAUGCCCACAAAACAAAUGCAACACUCAAGUCCGUCGGUGGAAAGAUAUGGCCAACAGGGGCAGGACCCUCGAGGAUCACUUCUGCUUGCUGGGAGUGGGGCUGCCUCCCUGGCCAGAGCAGCAACCAAGACACACAGAGAAGCCCUGGAGGCUGGGAGGCUUUCCCUUUGACUCUAGGGCUCUCAAACCCAGAGAUAAAAUGCCAGGGCUCUUCGCUCCUCCAAGCAGUUGUCUCCCGUCCUGCUUUGGGUCUGGGGACCUCUGCAGGUGGUUCCCGUUCUGCUCCACAGGGCUCAGCUCCUCUCUGGCUGAGCCACGGUGGCUGGUAAGAAGAGCUCCACCCUCUGGGUCCUGGUUACGUGGGCCCCCUGGUCCCUGUAAGGUGGAUGGGGUGAUGCGGAAGAGCAGAGGGGUGAAGGCGGAUGGGGACAACAGCAGCAGGGUCAGAAGAGGGUGGCAGCAUCUCAGACCACAGCCGAGGAGGAAGAUGGGGAUGAGGAGGAGGCUGCCGAGGAAGACGGGGAGGAUGGACUGUUCCAGAAGAGCCAACGCCGUUUGGGCUGCCGCUUGAGGUGGAGGUAGUCCUCCUUCUCACGCUCCUUCCGUGCCCGCUGGUAAUGAUCUUCCUCCUUCAGGUACCACACAGGUGGCCACCGAUGCUUCUCGAAAUACUCCUGGUUUUCUGGGGACAUGGCCUUCAUGUCUCGGGGGAACUUGCGGCACACGUUGUUGUAGUUGGUGCAGAUGUGGUGGAGACACCAGUCGGCCAGCUGGUACGCACAGUGGAACUGAGAAGGUGCCUUUUGCCAAGCACUCCUUAACCCGGUUGGUCCGGCGGACGUGGAAGGCCUUGGUGAUCUCCUGGUUCAUGAAGGCCUCAUUGUUGAGAAUGUUGGCCACCAUCAUGCGCAGAUCAAAGACCUCGAGCAGCUCAGCAAUGUGGGCAAUGUGCAUGAGGUCACGCUCGUUCUCAUCUAGCUCCCCCGUGUACAGGUACUUGAGGACAGCCCGGAAGGGCCCCGGCUGGAUGGAACUGUCCAUCUUCACCACCACCAUCAGCCGGGAUUUGUAGGUGAGAGGAUCUUCUGCCAUCUCUUCCUGGAUGCUCACAAAAGCUCGGCUCCAGGAAGACAGCACACGACCCCUGCCCGGUAGGUACCCUGUUCCGUUGCCCCGUAAGAUCCCGUCGCUGGUGGAAGCACGGAGGCCAGCAGGACCGGAGCCCCCAGCCUCAUCCACGCUCUCGCACACGUCAAAGCUGGCUGCUCGGAGCAGGAAGUCUCGCCCAUGGUGGUGGUGGUGAUGGUGGUGGUGUUGAUCAGAGUGGCCCUGGUGGUCCUCUGGGUGGGUGCCCCCUGGCUCCGAGGGGCCCCCCAGCUCCCCCUCACUCAGGUCCAUGAGGAACAGGUCAUAGAACUUGGAGGAAGAGGUGGAGAGGUAGAUCUUGUGGGCAAAGAUGCGCACCCGCUCCUGCAGCACCAGGAUGACGUCCGCGCAGAGCGGGUCCUCCAGGAGGUGGGCGGGGCACUCCUCGCUGCUGGAGGGAGGGUCGGGCACCACGAUGAUCGGGGGCGGUGGCUUGGGGGGUAGGAAGGGUGCCUGCAGCAGAGGCCGCUGCACAUUGCGGAGGUGGGACUUCCAGAACUGCAGGUGGCGGCGGGAGAUGAGUGCAGCUCGGAUGGCGUUGUCAAAGACGUCCUUGAUGCCGAACUGGGCCACCACGCUGGUCUCAUAGUAGGGGAUGCCCAGCUCCUUGGCCACCUCCCGACCCUUCUCUGGGGGCAGGAUUUCAUUAGGUUUGAUGGGCCUGGUAGGUUCAAGAAGGAAACCAAGCUUGUGUUGGUGGUGGAGGGAGGCUGCCUGUUCUUCCACAGGCUGGAGGGACUCUGCUCAGGAUCUGGGUGCCAAUCCCCACCCACUCCUGCCCUGCUCUGUCUGGCCAAAUCCCAUCAAGCUCCUUCAAGGUCCACUCCAAGCCCUUUUUCUUCCAGAAAGCUUUCCCUACUAUGCCAGGCCCCAGUGACCUCCCCAGUACAAAGCCGUGACAGCACUGCCUCUCUGGCAAUUAGCAGGCAAUGCUUCACAUGGGUAUUUAACAUGCUCACAUAUUUAGUUUAUCCCUCAGCAAAAUUAUAGGACUUUUUCAUGCA